AAUAGAUAACGCCGUUGACUUUUUCUUACAUGUUUGACCGUUCGUCUUAUUCAAAAAAUUUACGUAAUUAUAAUUUAUUUUAUUAUGGGUUGUUUUAUCACUCAUAGUACUUUAAGUGUGAUUUAUAUCUUAUACAUUUGCAUAAAAUUUUUUAAUAAGACGAAUGGUCAAACAUGUGAGAAAAAGUUAACGGCGUCAUCUAUU
This 204-nucleotide microRNA precursor is filed under the name Oryza sativa Japonica Group (Japanese rice). RNAcentral describes it as "MIR812 microRNA precursor family". It matches the Rfam family "MIR812 microRNA precursor family". Lineage: Eukaryota; Viridiplantae; Streptophyta; Magnoliopsida; Poales; Poaceae. The record is from Rfam by way of RNAcentral.